CUGUCUUGACAUCCNCGGAAGUUUUCAGAGAUGAGAAUGUGCNUUCGGGAACCGUGAGACAGGUGCUGCAUGGCUGUCGUCAGCUCGUGUUGUAAAUGUUGGGUUAAGUCCCGCAACGAGCGCAACCCUUAUCCUUUGUUGCCAGCGGUCCGGCCGGGAACUCAAAGGAGACUGCCAGUGAUAAACUGGAGGAAGGUGGGGAUGACGUCAAGUCAUCAUGGCCCUUACGACCAGGGCUACACACGUGCUACAAUGGCGCAUACAAAGAGAAGCGACCUCGCGAGAGCAAGCGGACCUCAUAAAGUGCGUCGUAGUCCGGAUUGGAGUCUGCAACUCGACUCCAUGAAGUCGGAAUCGCUAGUAAUCGUGGAUCAGAAUGCCACGGUGAAUACGUUCCCGGGCCUUGUACACACCGCCCGUCACACCAUGGGAGUGGGUUGCAAAAGAAGUAGGUAGCUUAACCUUCGGGAGGGCGCUUACCACUUUGUGNCNCAUGACUGGGGUG
Molecule: ribosomal RNA, 505 nt
Filed under: uncultured bacterium
Lineage: Bacteria
Description: bacterial SSU rRNA
Rfam family: Bacterial small subunit ribosomal RNA
Source: RNAcentral